Molecule: long non-coding RNA, 215 nt
Filed under: Prunus persica (peach)
Lineage: Eukaryota; Viridiplantae; Streptophyta; Magnoliopsida; Rosales; Rosaceae
Description: long non-coding RNA (PPER_LNC000482)
Source: RNAcentral
GCCGUUAACAUUACAAGCCGAGAACAAUUCAGCGCGAAUUGGGCCGAACGCCAAGUUAUAUAACUCGUCACUGUAAGUGGGGGAAUUCGAUGAUUUCAAUUUAUUCACCUAAUAGUAUACAAAACCAUUUACAUGUUAGUCAGACAAAAUUAAAUACUACAAUUUAUAUCUGUCAAUUAUAAAACACUUAUAACUUACAGAAUCCAAAAACCAUU